GUGAGGAAUAUUGGGCAAUGGAGGCAACUCUGACCCAGCCAUGCCGCGUGCAGGAAGACGGUCCUAUGGAUUGUAAACUGCUUUUAUACGGGAAGAAACACUCCCUCGUGAGGGAGCUUGACGGUACCGUAAGAAUAAGGAUCGGCUAACUCCGUGCCAGUAGCCGCGGUAAUACGGAGGAUCCAAGCGUUAUCCGGAAUCAUUGGGUUUAAAGGGUCCGUAGGCGGUUUAAUAAGUCAGUGGUGAAAGCCCAUCGCUCAACGAUGGAACGGCCAUUGAUACUGUUAGACUUGAAUUACAAGGAAGUAACUAGAAUAUGUAGUGUAGCGGUGAAAUGCUUAGAUAUUACAUGGAAUACCAAUUGCGAAGGCAGGUUACUACUUGUGGAUUGACGCUGAUGGACGAAAGCGUGGGGAGCGAACAGGAUUAGAAACCCCAGUAGUCC
This 445-nucleotide ribosomal RNA is filed under the name uncultured bacterium. RNAcentral's name for it is "partial 16S ribosomal RNA". It matches the Rfam family "Bacterial small subunit ribosomal RNA", at positions 354 to 796 of the family's 1533-position model. The record is from RNAcentral.